GGAAUAUUAAGACCAAAAAUAAAACUUCUAAUUUUACUUUAAGCGGUUCGAUUCCGUUUAUAUUCCU
This 67-nucleotide transfer RNA is filed under the name Atergatis floridus. RNAcentral describes it as "tRNA-Ser". Lineage: Eukaryota; Metazoa; Arthropoda; Malacostraca; Decapoda; Xanthidae. The record is from RNAcentral.